UGCCUGAAGAAAAUAGUGUUCCUAAAGCUCUCCCUAUGUGAAGCUAACAUGACAUUUAACCAUUUCCAGGGCUUUUUUCCUACUCAGUACAAAGUUAUAAGGAGCUGCUUUUCUUAAGAGCAUCUUGGCUAUCAUAAUGAGCAGGUUCAGUUUGUUUGCUUCAGCCUGGAGCAGAGUUAAAGCACAGUCUGCUUCAAGGAACAAGCUAAUUUUCCUUUCUCUGUAAAUAAAAAUAAAUAAAUAAUAAUAAAAUAAUAAAAAAAAGGCUGCAUAGGAGUUGUGUACAUUGCUGUCUUUUGUAUGUAGACAAAAAUGAAGACAUACCUAGGCUAAUAUUAACCCAAACAGACCAAUAUAAAUACUGCCAGAAUACUAUUUAGCAUUGUCUACAGAAUCUGAAGAGGGAGAGGCUGUUAGUUAAUAUUGCACUUACUUUUUUAUAGUAGCUACACCUCAAAGAGCUCUCUGGGAUAGAAGUUGAGAUUAUUCCCAGGAGCCACUGUCCUGGCUGUGACAACAUGAGAAGCACGUUCUUUGUGCUUUUUGUUGAAAUCAAGCAUCAUGAUGUGGGUCCGAUGCUGUCUUCUGCCCUUUAUGAAACCUGCAGUGCUUGUACCUUUGAGCAGAACUGCAGUGAGAGACUUGAGUAAUGAGGAUACACCCCCAUCACCAGUUCAGUUUUGCCUCACUCUUCUCCCCUGCCUUUCCACAGCCUUUAUUACUAGCUGAAGAGAGAGUUUCCAGAGGUGUAGUUAUGACAGCUCUUCAUGUCUGGUACCUCAAGCCAAGACAAUCUUAAUGCUUCCCAUAUAAGAACAGAGGUGGGUGAGUUUAACACAUCAGAGCAAAAUCCAAUUUUAUUUGUUGUCCAGCAUGCCCAUUUUUUUUCAGAGAUCCUUAUAGCUGACUUGACUCUUCUAGCAGGAUGAUAAACCUAAAAGAGUUGUGUCUCUGAAUUCAGAGAAGCUUAGGCAUACUCAUUUACAGUCAUAUGAAUACACUUUAGUCUGCUCUCAGAUAGUGCUACUGGUUUACAGAGCACAGAGCAAGGCUAUCUCAGUCUG
This 1064-nucleotide long non-coding RNA is filed under the name Anas platyrhynchos platyrhynchos (common mallard). Its description in RNAcentral is "lncRNA (ENSAPLG00000022215.1)". The record is from RNAcentral. Lineage: Eukaryota; Metazoa; Chordata; Aves; Anseriformes; Anatidae.